GUUGUGAUGGAGGCUGCCUUUGUGGAGGACUUGGGGGCUGACUCUCUGGACUCUGUUGAGCUCGUGAUGGCAUUGGAGGAGAAGUUCGGAAUUGAGAUUCCCGAUGAGAGCGCCACCAAGAUCUCC
RNAcentral lists this non-coding RNA (126 nucleotides) under Chromera velia. Lineage: Eukaryota; Chromeraceae. The record is from RNAcentral.